RNAcentral lists this ribosomal RNA (406 nucleotides) under uncultured bacterium. Its description in RNAcentral is "partial 16S ribosomal RNA". It matches the Rfam family "Bacterial small subunit ribosomal RNA", at positions 29 to 526 of the family's 1533-position model. The record is from RNAcentral.
AUUGAACGCUGGCGGCAGGCUUAACACAUGCAAGUCGAGCGAGCGGCGGACGGGUGAGUAAUGUCUGGGAAACUGACUGAGGGAGGGGGAUAACUCCUGGAAACGGUAGCUAAUACCGCAUACCAUCGGAUGUGCCCAAAUGGGAUUAGCUAGUUGGGGGGGGAAAGGCCCACCUAGGCGACGAUCCCUAGCUGGGCUGAGAGGAUGACCCGCCACACUGGAACUGAGACACGGUCCAGACUCCUACGGGAGGCAGCAGUGGGGAAUAUUGGACAAUGGGCGCAAGCCUGAUCCAGCCAUGCCGCGUGUAUGAAGAAGGCCUUCGGGUUGUAAAGUACUUUCAGCGGGGAGGCGGUACCCGCAGAAGAAGCACCGGCUAACUCCGUGCCAGCAGCCGCGGUAAUUC